This is a long non-coding RNA of Equus caballus (horse), 3878 nucleotides long. NCBI's taxonomy places the organism in Eukaryota, Metazoa, Chordata, Mammalia, Perissodactyla, Equidae. The record is from Ensembl.
CCCCUCCUUACUGCCCGUUUUCCCUAUAUAACUGCCUCAAGAUUCCGUAAUCCUGGAAGAUGGGUUUUUGAGACAUUAGUCACUCAUCUUCCGAUUAACCAGCUAAUCUAAUUAAGCUUCCUUUCUCGAUCUCUAACUUGUGAUUAAUUGGCUCAGAUCGCAGCGAACAGAGUGAGCCCUUCCUCAGUAUUAGCACUAUUGCGUUCUUUUCCUCCAACCGUUUGCAUCUGAAUAGACCUGACUGGACUCUGCAGGAGACCCCUGGCUGAUUUGCAAGGUGUUUUUUAGAUGAAUGACAGAAAGAAUAAACCCUCCAGGAGCCAAGAGGAGGGGGAGGUCAGUUCUGGCUGGAGCCACCCAGGAGAGCUGAACUGAAGACUUGCAAUUUGCGCCUACCCUGGAAGGAAGAGGCAGAUUCAACAGGCAAAGAGGUACAGAGUCAUAAUCAUGGGGCUCCAAAAAAGAGAAAAGGAAUCCCGGAAAUCCUCUCUCCCCCUGAAAUUGGCCAUCAAUAAUCCAGAAGUCGAGAAGUAAUGACUGUCCCCAUCAGAGAGCUCCAGGGUCUCUGUUGGCUCCCAGCUCUGCUGGCAGCUCAGCGGUGCAGGCAAGAGAAGGAUGGAGAGUGGCAUGCAGCAGGGACAAGGUGGGGAGGGGGGGUGCUCUGCGGGCAGAGGCACCACGUGAGCUGUGGCUCUGGGGCCAGGUAUCCCAUCUCUUGGUUAUUGGUAGGCACUUUGCAAAACACAGAGUCCUGGGAAGACUUAAACAGCUCCCCUUUCACAGACAGACAGCGACACUGCAGGUGGCACUUUGGCUUCAAUGUGCCAAAGCCUGUAGCGGGAAGAGUGCUGUGGGAUUUCCACCAGCCCGCCCCUCCAGCCUGCUCCUGGUGCCGCACAGUGUGAAUGGGACGUCUGAGCGAGCAAGUGACAGGCAGAUUUUCACACUUUGACAAUCUGGCUUCAUGGCGAUAGCAAUCUGUUGCUGAAUUUUAAGUAGAAUUGUCCUUUUAGCCCUCAAUCCUUACUGUAUCCUUUUAGUGUUCAAGAAUUCGGAAAUUUUAAUAAAGUUUGAACACAAGAGAAUGACAUUUAUUCCACUCUGGGAAAUAGUAUUAAUAACAUUAUCCCACACACCCACACUUUUUGACAGCUCCCACUGGUUCUACACAAAACUCAGUGUGGCUGUGGGGACCUGAUUUCUUUGGAAAUUCAAAAGAGUUCCAGAAUGUUUUUGAAACAGACACAAAGUGCGAUGGUUAAUUUUAUGUGUCAACCUGGCUGGUCUAUGGAGCUCAGUUGUUUAGCCAAACACUAGUCUAGACAUUGCUGUGAAGGCAUUUUGUAGAAGUGGUCAACACCUGUGAUUAGUUGACUUUAAAUAUAGAUUACCCUCCAUAAUGUGGGUGGGCCUCAUCCAAUCAGUUGACGGCCUUAAGAGCAAAUAUUGAAGUUUCUCUAAAGUGAAAGAAUUCCGCCUCAAAGCUGCAACAUAAAGACUCUGCCUGAAUUUCCAGCCUGCUGCUCUACCCUACCGAUUUUGGACUCGCCAGCCCCAUAAUCACACAAGUCCAUUCCUUAAAAUCUCUCUCUUGUAUAUAUGUAUAUAAACCCUAUUGCUUCUGUUUCUCCAGAGAACCCUGACUCGUAACCUCUGAAAUAAUCUCACGGGACCCAGGUAAAAGAGAACCCAGAAAGAUGAAAGGAGUUCACGGUGGGGGAGGGGUGGUUGAGUUAGCUAAGAGCCUUUCUGUUCUGCCCAGGGCACCCAGCCUGGUGAUCAACAGUGCACAGAACAAGAGAGUCAGAGACACUUUUGCAAAUGCUACAAGUCUGUGCUCUUUUUAAAAAAGGUCAUUGAUUUUCCAUUUAAUUAAAUAGUCUGCUCUAAGGUAGGACCGCCAUGUUGUUUGAUUGCAACAAGUAUUAGGAACGAUAAAGUUUCUUAGCUUCCAUGGUACUAAAUGGUGUACUCAAAACAGCAUAGAAAUAGGUCCGUUUGAAAGUUCUUGCAGCUGAUUCUUCCCCUUCAACAGGACCUAGGUUGCUAAUCUAUCCCACGCUUUUCAGACUGCCUCUCAAUUUGAAUAUAAUCUCCUAAAUCCACCUCAACACCAACCCUUUCUCCCCCCUUCCUCUAAUCUCCUGCAUGAUUAAUGAAAGGUCUUUAUCUUCACAGUUCUAACUAAUGGCUCAUUACUCAUUUCUGUAGCAUUAGCCAAAAGAAACCUUGGUCAAGGCCAUUUUGAUAAGCAUAAUCAGCCUUCACUCUUGCAUUUGAAAGGUCUUCAUUCUUGUAAUACUUUCGUGGCUACAGCAGCUGUUGGACGUUUUCUAGUUUUUGCAGAGCUUUGCAGCUAUGGAAAAAUCUCCGCUAAAGGUUCUGCAGCAUAGUUUAAUGUAGAUGUCUCGCCCCAGCCUGGUUAGUAUAAAAAUUCAAUUGCAGAGCAGUAAUUAUUAUUAUUUUUAUUGUAAUGUGCGAGGAGAAGAUCCUGGCUUCCCAAUUGGAAAGUCCUACAGUGAGCCAAUAGAGUUUCCACCUCUGACCUCCUCGGAGGCGGGGAUGGCGAGCACUGUGGUUUGGGGCCUGGGUUUGGGGGGCUCAGAGUGCAUGGUCUUGUCAAAGUCAAGGCCCCGAGGCCCCAUGACCGGGGCUGGGAGCAGGAAGAGUGGAGCUGAGGUCACUGUUGGCCUCUCUACUCACGGUUCCUGUGUGUCAAUUGGGGCUGGCAAUGGCCAGCAUGCUCACACACAGCCCAGGGGAUGGUUAUGCAUUUUCCUUUGUUUUUCCAGCCCCAACAAAAACAUUUUCUGAUGGAUGCACUUGAGAGGGCUCCCUCGCUUUCGAAACUUGUAACAUCACAAAGAGAUUUGUGGCUGAUCCUCUUAAAAGGAAUUAAAAAUGUCCAGGGUAUUUACACUAAACCGCCGUGGUUCAGGGACUGCCCAUGUGUAGGCCUUGGAGGUGAACAGUGCCAGGGUGCCAGGUCAGCACUGUCUUUCCUCCAGUCUCUGAAUCAGAGUUUUUCUUCAACAAGUUGACAGGCUCUCAUUGUCAUGACUUGAUUGCUCAGUACCUUUCACCCUAAGAGCUGAUGGAUGGUUUUGAACCCGUUACAAAUGAAUUUUGAUUUACCAGGUAUUUUCACUGCUCCAAGUUCACCUUUCACCAGAUCUCCAGGUGAAUGGGGAAGUAUAAAAAGUCAUCUUGAAAUGGCCUUCUUUCUAGUUUCGAAAAUACGAAGGGCGUAAUUUUGUAUCACGACACUAUACCAUAUUUUAAAAUUUUCUCAUCUUGCAGGCAAGACUCACGAUGUGAAGUGGUGAUGGGUAAAAGGACCCCAAGCAGAGCGAGGAGAUGGUGGACAUUCAGUGUCUUUACAGAUUCUUGGCAACUCGAGAGUAGUUUUAGACAGUAAAGUCAAAGGGCAUCAUAACAUCACGACGUGACAAAAUGUAUCCUUCCACCCACAGGAAGAACGGGGCAGGGUCAAGAGAGCUCAUGACCUGAUGAUCUGAGGACCCAACCUGAGGAAAUAAGAGGACACUCAAAGGAACAGAUGACAGCCACGCGGCAGGGAGCCAUGGCCAGCAUGGUGCUGAGGCCAGCGGGAGACGGAGGAGGGAACGGCAUCUCUCCUGGGACUUCCCCUCUCUGGCUUUGCUGAACCCUGAGUGGACUCUCCUGGACCCCGAGUGGACUCUCUUGGACCCUGAGUGGACUCUUCCUGGCUCAUGCCUCAGAGCUCAUGGAUGCAGUCCCCAUGGGGAUCACAUGGUGAGGAGGGCUGGUUCUAAAUUCCAGGGCCUAUGGUGGCAUACUGGCUAAGUUCACGCACUCUGCUUCAGGGGCCUGGGGUUCGCAGGUUCAGAUCCCUG